AUACGUAGGGGGCGAGCGUUGUCCGGAAUGAUUGGGCGUAAAGGGCGCGUAGGCGGCCUGUUAAGUCUGGAGUGAAAGUCCUGUUUUCAAGAUGGGAAUUGCUUUGGAUACUGAUGGGCUUGAGCGCAGGAGAGGUUAUCGGAAUUCCCGGUGUAGCGGUGAAAUGCGUAGAGAUCGAGAGGAACACCAGUGGCGAAGGCGGGUAACUGGACUGCAACUGACGCUGAGGCGCGAAAGUGUGGGGAGCAAACAGGAUUAUAUACCCUGGUAGUCCACACUGUAAACGAUGAAUGCUAGGUGUAAGAGGUAUCGACCCCUUUUGUGCCGGAGUUAACACAAUAAGCAUUCCGCCUGGGGAGUACGGCCGCAAGGUUGAAACUCAAAGGAAUUGACGGGG
Molecule: ribosomal RNA, 397 nt
Filed under: uncultured bacterium
Lineage: Bacteria
Description: partial 16S ribosomal RNA
Rfam family: Bacterial small subunit ribosomal RNA
Source: RNAcentral